GACGAACGCUGGCGGCGUGCUUAACACAUGCAAGUCGAACGGAAAGGCCCUGCUUUUGUGGGGUGCUCGAGUGGCGAACGGGUGAGUAACACGUGAGUAACCUGCCCUUGACUUUGGGAUAACUUCAGGAAACUGGGGCUAAUACCGGAUAGGAGCUCCUGCUGCAUGGUGGGGGUUGGAACGUUUCGGCGGUUGGGGAUGGACUCGCGGCUUAUCAGCUUGUUGGUGGGGUAGUGGCUUACCAAGGCUUUGACGGGUAGCCGGCCUGAGAGGGUGACCGGCCACAUUGGGAGUGAGAUACGGCCCAGAAUCCUACGGGAGGCAGAAGUGGGGAAUAUUGCACAAUGGGCGGAAGCCUGAUGCAGCAACGCCGCGUGCGGGAUGACGGCCUUCGGGUUGUAAACCGCUUUCGCCUGUGACGAAGCGUGAGUGACGGUAAUGGGUAAAGAAGCACCGGAUAACUACGUG
Molecule: ribosomal RNA, 468 nt
Filed under: uncultured bacterium
Lineage: Bacteria
Description: partial 16S ribosomal RNA
Rfam family: Bacterial small subunit ribosomal RNA
Source: RNAcentral